UAUUUCUUAUCAUUUUUAUUGUAGAGGUAACAUUUUAUCCAGAAAUUGAGCUUUGCUGUGACGAAGAAGUCAGUGAACUAUCAAAGCACCGAGGAAUAUGUGUUGGAAAUAUUAAAAACGACCGAAAUUCGAGCAUAACCUGGUGUGGAGAAAAGGGAACGUCACGACCUUUUAAAUGUUGUAACGGGAAAACUUUUUACAACGCAACAUUAUUCAAAUGCUUGAAUAACACAGUAGUUCCGAUUGAAUACGAUAUCUGUAACGGUGAAUUCUAUGAUAAAAGAAGGCGAAUCUGUUGUGGCCGGUCAACGCUCUAUGGUGAAUCUUCCUAUCAGUCCAAUUUCAAAUGUUGCGGCUCCUCUUUAAUUGACAGACGGGUAAAGCAAUGCUGUAUUUGGUCUGGAUCCGCCUACGUUCAACCGAAAACAGGACACUGCUGUGGAGGACAACUUUAUCAGCAAAAAUCAGAAAUCUGCUGCAAAGGCAAUCGAAUUGCUGCUGAUGAAAAUAUAAGAUGUUGCGGCGAUGGAUUUUACAACUCUACCUUUCAACUUUGCUGUCAUUCUGAAAAAUCUGCCACUCCAUUCGAUAAGAAGAGUGAAAAAUGUUGU
Long non-coding RNA from Saccostrea cuccullata (small rock oyster), 611 nucleotides. RefSeq lists it as uncharacterized. NCBI's taxonomy places the organism in Eukaryota, Metazoa, Mollusca, Bivalvia, Ostreida, Ostreidae. The transcript is spliced from 3 exons. The record is from RefSeq and is a predicted model, not a curated record.